Molecule: ribosomal RNA, 484 nt
Filed under: uncultured bacterium
Lineage: Bacteria
Description: partial 16S ribosomal RNA
Rfam family: Bacterial small subunit ribosomal RNA
Source: RNAcentral
AUUGAACGCUGGCGGCAGGCCUAACACAUGCAAGUCGAGCGGAUGAAGGGAGCUUGCUCCUGGAUUCAGCGGCGGACGGGUGAGUAAUGCCUAGGAAUCUGCCUGGUAGUGGGGGAUAACGUCCGGAAACGGGCGCUAAUACCGCAUACGUCCUGAGGGAGAAAGUGGGGGAUCUUCGGACCUCACGCUAUCAGAUGAGCCUAGGUCGGAUUAGCUAGUUGGUGGGGUAAAGGCCUACCAAGGCGACGAUCCGGAACUGGUCUGAGAGGAUGAUCAGUCACACUGGAACGGAGACACGGUCCAGACUCCUACGGGAGGCAGCAGUGGGGAAUAUUGGACAAUGGGCGAAAGCCUGAUCCAGCCAUGCCGCGUGUGUGAAGAAGGUCUUCGGAUUGUAAAGCACUUUAAGUUGGGAGGAAGGGCAGUAAGUUAAUACCUUGCUGUUUUGACGUUACCAACAGAAUAAGCACCGGCUAACUUCGUG